Molecule: ribosomal RNA, 508 nt
Filed under: uncultured eukaryote
Lineage: Eukaryota
Description: bacterial SSU rRNA
Rfam family: Eukaryotic small subunit ribosomal RNA
Source: RNAcentral
AAGCCUGAGAGACGGCUACUACAUCUAAGGAAGGCAGCAGGCGCGCAAAUUUCCCAAUGCUCAUCGAGCGAGGAAGUGACGAUCAAUAAUAAUGUGCGGGGUUUACCUUGCACAGUAGAAUGAGUAGAACGUACAAGCGUUUUCCAUGAUCAAUUGGAGGGCAAGUCUGGUGCCAGCAGCCGCGGUAAUUCCAGCUCCAAUAGGAUAUAUCAAAGUUGUUGCAGUUGAAAAGCUCGUAGUCGUAUUUCUGGUGGGUUUGAUGUUUUGCCGGUUUUGGGGCGCAAGCUCUUGCUGGUUUGAACCGCCUGCCAUUUUGUGGGCUCAAGUGGUCUUGUCGGGGUUUACUCACCGAUUUGAUCGCUCCACUCCGUCACUGAGAGCAAAUUGGAGUGCUCAAAGCAGGCUUUACAGCUUUGAACAUUUUAGCUUGGAAUGACAAAGAAUGACUUUUUGUUCACUUUGUUGGUUAUGAAUGGGAAGUAAUGAUAAAUAGGAACAGUUGCGGGGG